Molecule: ribosomal RNA, 374 nt
Filed under: uncultured bacterium
Lineage: Bacteria
Description: bacterial SSU rRNA
Rfam family: Bacterial small subunit ribosomal RNA
Source: RNAcentral
GUAGGGGGCGAGCGUUGUCCGGAUUUAUUGGGCGUAAAACGCUCGUAGGUGGCCACGCCAAGUCGGACGUGAAAUCUCCUGGCUUAACUAGGAGGGGUCGCUCGAUACUGGCGGGCUCGAGGCAGGGAGGGGGAAGCGGAAUUCCCGGUGUAGUGGUGGAAUGCGUAGAUAUCGGGAGGAACACCAGUGGCGAAGGCGGCUUCCUGGCCCUGAUCUGACACUGAGGAGCGAAAGCGUGGGGAGCGAUCCGGAUUAGAUACCCGGGUAGUCCACGCCGUAAACGGUGCGCACUAGGUGUCGGGGGUAUCGACCCCUCCGGUGCCGCAGCUAACGCAGUAAGUGCGCUGCCUGGGGAGUACGGCCGCAAGGCUAAA